This 253-nucleotide ribosomal RNA is filed under the name uncultured bacterium. RNAcentral's name for it is "partial 16S ribosomal RNA". It matches the Rfam family "Bacterial small subunit ribosomal RNA", at positions 524 to 776 of the family's 1533-position model. The record is from RNAcentral.
UACGUAGGGGGCAAGCGUUGUCCGGAAUUAUUGGGCGUAAAGAGCUCGUAGGCGGUUGUUUAAGUCGGGUGUGAAAUCUCAGGGCUCAACUCUGAAACUGCACCCGAUACUGGACGACUUGAGGCAGGUAGGGGAGAUCGGAAUUCCUGGUGUAGCGGUGAAAUGCGCAGAUAUCAGGAGGAACACCGGUGGCGAAGGCGGAUCUCUGGGCCUGUUCUGACGCUGAGGAGCGAAAGCGUGGGGAGCAAACAGG